This is a non-coding RNA of Potamilus streckersoni, 71 nucleotides long. The record is from the annotation of a GenBank genome assembly. Lineage: Eukaryota; Metazoa; Mollusca; Bivalvia; Unionida; Unionidae.
GGUGGCCUAGUGGUUAGGGCGUCCGCCUCGGAUGCGGGAGGUCGCGAGCUGGAACCCGUCUAGUCAUACCA